GGCUCAAAUUUGAAGUAGAAUAGAUAAGAAGGAUCAUCUGACCCUGCUUAACUAAUCUACUUAGAGCUUGUGCCC
This is a non-coding RNA of Haemonchus placei, 75 nucleotides long. NCBI's taxonomy places the organism in Eukaryota, Metazoa, Nematoda, Chromadorea, Rhabditida, Trichostrongylidae. The record is from Rfam.